This 490-nucleotide ribosomal RNA is filed under the name uncultured bacterium. Its description in RNAcentral is "partial 16S ribosomal RNA". It matches the Rfam family "Bacterial small subunit ribosomal RNA", at positions 30 to 507 of the family's 1533-position model. The record is from RNAcentral.
AUUGAACGCUGGCGGCAGGCCUAACACAUGCAAGUCGAACGGUAACAGGAAGAAGCUUGCUUCUUUGCUGACGAGUGGCGGACGGGUGGGUAAUGUCUGGGAAACUGCCUGAUGGAGGGGGAUAACUACUGGAAACGGUAGCUAAUACCGCAUAACGUCGCAAGACCAAAGAGGGGGACCUUCGGGCCUCUUGCCAUCGGAUGUGCCCAGAUGGGAUUAGCUAGUAGGUGGGGUAACGGCUCACCUAGGCGACGAUCCCUAGCUGGUCUGAGAGGAUGACCAGCCACACUGGAACUGAGACACGGUCCAGACUCCUACGGGAGGCAACAGUGGGGAAUAUUGCACAAAGGGCGCAAGCCUGAUGCAGCCAUGCCGCGUGUAUGAAGAAGGCCUUCGGGUUGUAAAGUACUUUCAGCGGGGAGGAAGGGAGUAAAGUUAAUACCUUUACUCAUUGACGUUACCCGCAGAAGAAGCACCGGCUAACUCCGUG